CCUACGGGUGGCUGCAGUAGGGAAUCUUCCGCAAUGGGCGAAAGCCUGACGGAGCAACGCCGCGUGAGUGAUGACGGCCUUCGGGUUGUAAAGCUCUGUUAAUCGGGACGAAAGGCCUUCUUGCGAAUAGUUAGAAGGAUUGACGGUACCUGUCGAGGAAGCCACGGCUAACUACGUGCCAGCAGCCGCGGUAAUACGUAGGUGGCAAGCGUUGUCCGGAAUUAUUGGGCGUAAAGCGCGCGCAGGCGGAUUGGUCAGUCUGUCUUAAAAGUUCGGGGCUUAACCCCGUGAUGGGAUGGAAACUGCCAAUCUAGAGUAUCGGAGAGGAAAGUGGAAUUCCUAGUGUAGCGGUGAAAUGCGUAGAUAUUAGGAAGAACACCAGUGGCGAAGGCGACUUUCUGGACGAAAACUGACGCUGAGGCGCGAAAGCCAGGGGAGCGAACGGGAUUAGAUACCCCGGUAGUC
RNAcentral lists this ribosomal RNA (465 nucleotides) under uncultured Veillonella sp. RNAcentral's name for it is "bacterial SSU rRNA". It matches the Rfam family "Bacterial small subunit ribosomal RNA", at positions 338 to 795 of the family's 1533-position model. The record is from RNAcentral. Lineage: Bacteria; Bacillati; Bacillota; Negativicutes; Veillonellales; Veillonellaceae.